This 253-nucleotide ribosomal RNA is filed under the name uncultured bacterium. RNAcentral describes it as "partial 16S ribosomal RNA". It matches the Rfam family "Bacterial small subunit ribosomal RNA", at positions 524 to 776 of the family's 1533-position model. The record is from RNAcentral.
UACGAAGGGGGCUAGCGUUGUCCGGAAUCACUGGGCGUAAAGGGCGCGUAGGCGGCUUGAUAAGGUUGCGGUGAAAGCCCGGGGCUCAACCCCGGGUCGGCCGUGGCAACUGUCGAGCUGGAGCACUGUAGAGGCAGGUGGAAUUCCGGGUGUAGCGGUGGAAUGCGUAGAGAUCCGGAAGAACACCGGUGGCGAAGGCGGCCUGCUGGGCAGUGGCUGACGCUGAGGCGCGACAGCGUGGGGAGCAAACAGG